RNAcentral lists this ribosomal RNA (119 nucleotides) under Pteropus alecto (black flying fox). The record is from RNAcentral. Lineage: Eukaryota; Metazoa; Chordata; Mammalia; Chiroptera; Pteropodidae.
UGUUACGGCUAUGCCACCCUGAACGUGCCUGAUCUCGUCUGAUCUCAGAAGCUAAGUAAGGUCGAGCCUGGCUAGUACUUGAAUAGAAGAUUAUCUAGGAAGACCAGGUGGUGUAGGUG